Eleginops maclovinus (Patagonian blennie) is the source of this 3348-nucleotide long non-coding RNA. RefSeq lists it as uncharacterized. Lineage: Eukaryota; Metazoa; Chordata; Actinopteri; Perciformes; Eleginopidae. The record is from RefSeq and is a predicted model, not a curated record. The transcript is spliced from 3 exons.
AUUACAGAUAAUUCAGUUUCAGUAUCUCAAAUAUGGAAAUCGUUUGUUUUCCAUAUUUGGAACACUGUGUUUUGGAAAGUUUGGGAAUCAAGACUACAAAAGACAUUACCUUUGACUUUGAGAAACCGUAACAGACAUUUUUCACACUUUUUCUGAAGUUUAGAGGCCAAACAAUUUAGCAGAUUAAUCAAUAAUGUGAAAUAAUCAUUCGUUGCAGCUCUGUUAUUAAAACUAUACAAAUGUGUAUGAUGCUGAAAGACAAAAAACAAGGACAUGACAUCAGACAGAGAUAAAGCAGUAGAAAAACAAAAGGAUCAAGACAAAAGACAACAUGGUGGAAAGGGGAUGAAUGUUUCCCAAUACAAAGUCCACGCCCGCAGAUAGAUCACAUGCACGACAUCACAAGAUAUGAUGACAAGGAAGAGGGAAAGGAAAGCAGGAGGAGGAAAAACUGACGCUAGGAAACUGACUUGGGUUCAGUGUCUGCUGCCAGGUGUUGUUCCACAAUACCAGAGCCAUGAUGGGGCUUAUUUGUGCACUGUGGCAAGUUUAAUUUCCACCAGUGGGACCGUAAAGAUGACUCGAAUAAUACUAGCUAAAGCAUGGGACAUAAUCUGCUUAUGUAACGUUACACACUGACAGGAUAAAGAGAUGAAGGAAAAGAUUUACCUGAGGUACACAGCUACAGCCAGCUCCACAUUCUCUUUUUGGUGUGUGUACACACACACACGCAAGCACGCACGCACACACAGACACAGCACUGAAAUAAGCCUGUGCUGGUUUAAUAACAUGUAAGCUUGUAUUAGAAUUACAAUCCCAGAAGGCGAGUGCAGCUGGGGAUAACUUUUUUUAAAUCUGAACAUCUGAAGUGUUUAAUAAAUGGAAUACAAACACACUCAAGAGUGCUUUGUGUGACACUGGGAGCUGUUAGGUGAGGAGCAGCGGUGUGGGGGGAAAUGAAGCAGAAGGCCAAUGCUGCUGGCCUUUCUUGCAGAGACCUUUGGACUCACAUGGAUUGAAGGAAACCUGAAAGUGCUCUGGAGCAGAAUGAUUUGAGAGUCAGAGCUUCAUACUUGGGCUCAGUUCAAAGCUCUCUGUCCAUAGGCUGACUGGUGGCCUCUCUGUGGGGACGCAGGGUUGCAGGGGGAGGCUUGACCGGGUCGCCCCAGAGAGGCCCUGCGGCUCCGCCUCCUCUCCAGGCCGUGCUUUUUGUCCCCGCCCCCGAGGCUGACUCGUCGGCGGUCCCGGCGUCCUGAUGGAGGAGGCUGGCUGUCAUCGUCCCCGUCUUCAUGCCGUAGGGUCGUCUAAAGUGGCAGUCAUAAAGGAUGUUUUAGCACAGGAUUUAAGCAGCACUUACUGGCUGAUACCUGAUCUUUAAUGAAAGGCAAAUAUCAGCUUGCAAUGUUUUCAUGUGAUCCUUUGACUCAGUGUUUUACAAACCUCAUAGAGGUUGAGCUGCUCAACCAAAUCCAGAUCAGUUCCUUUCCGGCCCAGAUGCCUUUGGGACACUGUUUCCAUGCCCUGUUCCUCAAGACCAUCCACCAUGUCGUAAAAUGAGUCCUGAUCAGGCAGUGCAGCCAGCGUCUACAAGAAGAACAGGAGACGGAUGAGAAUAUGAAUUGUAACUGAGGUUUUUAAACCUUUUGGCAGCUUUUUUGGUCGCUGUAUGUCAAAAUAUUGCAAUAUUGUAUAAUCAGAGGGGGCGUUACAACUCUCCGAGUUCACGUUCAGCUCAAAGCGGGAUAUGUUUUUUCAGGAACUUUAAGAACAUUAAAUUAGUGAGCUUUCUAAUUUAACUUUACAUGAAUUAGCUAAAUAAAGAGAAAUAGUAACAGUGCCGACAAGCGACUUUGUCCAGAGGUAAACUUACACAUUAAACUGCAAUCUUAAGUCUACUAGAAUCCACAUUCAAUGUUACACCUUAUAAUGUGACAAGAGCCCAGGAGGCAGCGGUCUUCAGAAAACAUGCACUCCUUAUAUUUAAUCAUUUUAUAUUAGGCAGGAUGGGACAAAUCCCUGAAACACCACCACGUUUGUGCAUGACUGAAUAAUUCAACUACAAAACGUUUUCAUUUAUAGGGAAAGAGUGAAGGAAAAGCAUCUUUUAAAGAACCGGUGGUCAUAUCAGAGUUAUAUAAAGUACUUAAAAGUAUAUAAACAUUCAGUAUAGACACCUUAUUGAUGAGGGUCAUGGCGUAGACCAGCAGCUCUGUGUCCACUCCAUCCUUCUCAUGCAAGAUCUCCAUAGUAUUGGACCACGACUUGCAUCCUGGAAAACAACGCAUUAGAAACAUGAAUCCCUUUGUGUCUAAGCAACCAUCCCUUCCUAUAGGUCCACCUCGUCCAGUAAACAGUAAAUUACAUGAGCUCACAGAACAAUGACAAAGAAUAAGUUCCUCAGCAGAUGGAGUCAUGUUGUUUCAUUUUUACCUCUCUUGGUUUCCACAGAGGUGAUGGCAUCUAUCAGCAGUGGGGCGUUGGACUCCGAGUACUCCACAAACACCAACAACAGCUUCAGAGUUGUUUUCACCACCAGACGGAACUAGAGCGGGGGGGGGGGGACAAAUAGAAUAUAUGCAUUAUGCUGAGCAGCAUGUUGAAAAUAUGAUAUUUGUUCCUAUGUUCAGACCAUCUUUAAAUCCUUCUUAUUUAUGGGCUUCGAGGCCAGAAUUCUAAUGAUAUAUACAGAUAUGUAAACAGUCUUUGUGAAUUUCCUUUUUUCCCAAUAAUGCUUGAUCUAUAUCUGUGAACAAUAUGUUGUUUACAUGUUUGUUAGACCCUAUACAAUGCAGUCCAUGUGUGCUUUAGUUUAGAUGACUCGAUGUAGAUGUGAUCCCCUUCAAGUGUCAUGAUAGGGAGUUUAUUUGUUAUCUACGUGCUACCAUAUCAUUAUAUGGAAAGCUAAUCAAAUUUAAGAGUUGUUAUAAUGAAAAUUAUAAACAAAAACAAAUAUUGAGCUUUAGUGCAAAGUGAAAGUGAAGGAAAACACCAGAAAGGUCAGCACACAGAUUCAAGUCAGUAGUAGAUGUGUUUGUGUACGUUUUUCUGGGUAUAAAUGACAAGAAUAAUGCUUGCAAAACAAUGAAUGGGCGUCUCAGAGUGUGUGGUUGUUUUGGGGGGAUUUUGUGUGUGUAUGCUCAGCUGUACCUUUGAGCCAACAAGAGUGUACAGCCACUGGAUUGUCUCAGCAUGCCCGAUGACACCGUUCAUCCCGUCCACAUACAGCAUGAUCUGUCCCAGAGCUGGGGAGAAGGGGAAAGAGAAACCAAACAAAAAGUUAGAGGCUUGUGAUAAAAAUAGAAUGAUGAAGCAACACUGUAAACAUACCAAGCACACUAUGUGAAAACU